RNAcentral lists this ribosomal RNA (253 nucleotides) under uncultured bacterium. RNAcentral's name for it is "partial 16S ribosomal RNA". It matches the Rfam family "Bacterial small subunit ribosomal RNA", at positions 524 to 776 of the family's 1533-position model. The record is from RNAcentral.
UACAGAGGUGGCAAGCGUUGUUCGGAAUUACUGGGCGUAAAGGGCGCGUAGGUGGCCUUUUGAGUCAGACGUGAAAUCCCCCGGCUUAACCUGGGAACUGCGUCUGAUACUGGACGGCUGGAGUUUGGGAGAGGGAUGUAGAAUUCCAGGUGUAGCGGUGAAAUGCGUAGAUAUCGUAAGGAAGACCAGUGGCGAAGGCGAAUCUCUGGACAGUUACUGACACUGAGGCACGAAGGCCAGGGGAGCAAACGGG